This 253-nucleotide ribosomal RNA is filed under the name uncultured bacterium. RNAcentral describes it as "partial 16S ribosomal RNA". It matches the Rfam family "Bacterial small subunit ribosomal RNA", at positions 524 to 776 of the family's 1533-position model. The record is from RNAcentral.
GACGGGGGAUGCAAGUGUUAUCCGCAAUCACUGGGCGUAAAGCGUCUGCAGGUGGUUUCCUAAGUCCACUGUUAAACCUUGAGGCUCAACCUCAAAUCUGCAUUGGAAACUAGGAGACUUGAGUAUAGUAGGGGUAGAGGGAAUUUCCAGUGGAGCGGUGAAAUGCGUAGAUAUUGGAAAGAACACCGAUGGCGAAGGCACUCUACUGGGCUAUUACUGACACUCAGAGACGAAAGCUAGGGGAGCAAAUGGG